RNAcentral lists this ribosomal RNA (1535 nucleotides) under Lachnospiraceae bacterium. RNAcentral describes it as "bacterial SSU rRNA". It matches the Rfam family "Bacterial small subunit ribosomal RNA". The record is from RNAcentral. Lineage: Bacteria; Bacillati; Bacillota; Clostridia; Lachnospirales; Lachnospiraceae.
ACAAUGAAGAGUUUGAUCCUGGCUCAGGAUGAACGCUAGCGGCAGGCUUAACACAUGCAAGUCGAGGGGCAGCGAGGGUAGCAAUACCUGUCGGCGACCGGCGCACGGGUGAGUAACGCGUAUGCAAUCUGGCUUAUACAGGGGAAUAACCCGGAGAAAUCCGGACUAAUACCGCAUAACAUUGGCAGUGGCAUCACCGACAAUUGAAAGUAGCAAUACGGUAUAAGAUGAGCAUGCGUAUCAUUAGUUAGUUGGUAAGGUAACGGCUCACCAAGACAGCGAUGAUUAGGGGUUCUGAGAGGAACAUCCCCCACACCGGAACUGAGACACGGUCCGGACUCCUACGGGAGGCAGCAGUGAGGAAUAUUGGUCAAUGGGCGAAAGCCUGAACCAGCCAUGCCGCGUGCAGGAUUACAGCCCUACGGGUUUUAAACUGCUUUUAAACGGGAGCAAUAAGGGGUAUGCGUACCCUGAUGAGAGUACCGUAAGAAUAAGCAUCGGCUAACUCCGUGCCAGCAGCCGCGGUAAUACGGAGGAUGCAAGCGUUAUCCGGAUUCAUUGGGUUUAAAGGGUGCGUAGGCGGCAAAUUAAGUCAGCGUAGAAAGGUCAAGGCUCAACCUUGACACUUGCGUUGAAACUGGUAUGCUUGAAUGAGAAUGAAGUUGGAGGAAUGUGUCGUGUAGCGGUGAAAUGCAUAGAUAUUACACAGAAGGUCGAUUGCGAAGGCAUCCGACUAAUUCUCGAUUGACGCUGAAGCACGAAAGCGUGGGGAUCAAACAGGAUUAGAUACCCUGGUAGUCCACGCCGUAAACGAUGCUCACUCGCCGUUGGACGGUAUAUCGUUCAGUGGCUUAGCGAAAGCGUUAAGUGAGCCACCUGGGGAGUACGACCGCAAGGUUGAAACUCAAAGGAAUUGACGGGGGCCCGCACAAGCGGUGGAGCAUGUGGUUUAAUUCGAAGCAACGCGAAGAACCUUACCAGGUCUUGACAUACUCGUGCUAUUCCUAGAGAUAGGAAGUUCCUUCGGGACACGGGAUACAGGUGGUGCAUGGUUGUCGUCAGCUCGUGUCGUGAGAUGUUGGGUUAAGUCCCGCAACGAGCGCAACCCCUAUUGUUAGUUGCCAUCAUUAAGUUGGGCACUCUAACGAGACUGCCGGUGAUAAACCGGAGGAAGGUGGGGAUGACGUCAAAUCAUCAUGCCCCUUAUGACCUGGGCUACACACGUGCUACAAUGGAUGGUACAACGAGUCGCGAGACAGUGAUGUUUAGCUAAUCUCUUAAAACCAUUCUCAGUUCGGAUUGUAGGCUGCAACUCGCCUACAUGAAGUCGGAAUCGCUAGUAAUCGCGGAUCAGCACGCCGCGGUGAAUACGUUCCCGGGCCUUGUACACACCGCCCGUCACACCACGGGAGUUGGGAGUACCCGAAGUAGGUUGCCUAACCGCAAGGAGGGCGCUUCCUAAGGUAAGACCGAUGACUGGGGUGAAGUCGUAACAAGGUAGCCGUAUCGGAAGGUGCGGCUGGAUCACCUCCUUU